This 473-nucleotide ribosomal RNA is filed under the name uncultured organism. Its description in RNAcentral is "partial 16S ribosomal RNA". It matches the Rfam family "Bacterial small subunit ribosomal RNA", at positions 334 to 799 of the family's 1533-position model. The record is from RNAcentral.
CACUCCUACGGGAGGCAGCAGUGGGGAAUUUUGGACAAUGGGCGAAAGCCUGAUCCAGCAAUGCCGCGUGUGUGAAGAAGGCCUUCGGGUUGUAAAGCACUUUUGUCCGGAAAGAAAUCCUUGGCUCUAAUACAGUCGGGGGAUGACGGUACCGGAAGAAUAAGCACCGGCUAACUACGUGCCAGCAGCCGCGGUAAUACGUAGGGUGCGAGCGUUAAUCGGAAUUACUGGGCGUAAAGCGUGCGCAGGCGGUUUGCUAAGACCGAUGUGAAAUCCCCGGGCUCAACCUGGGAACUGCAUUGGUGACUGGCAGGCUAGAGUAUGGCAGAGGGGGGUAGAAUUCCACGUGUAGCAGUGAAAUGCGUAGAGAUGUGGAGGAAUACCGAUGGCGAAGGCAGCCCCCUGGGCCGAUACUGACGCUCAUGCACGAAAGCGUGGGGAGCAAACAGGAUUAGAAACCCUAGUAGUCCCGA